UAGGUGGUUUUGAAAAUGACG
RNAcentral lists this microRNA (21 nucleotides) under Apis mellifera (honey bee). Its description in RNAcentral is "ame-miR-3766-3p". The record is from miRBase by way of RNAcentral. Lineage: Eukaryota; Metazoa; Arthropoda; Insecta; Hymenoptera; Apidae.